RNAcentral lists this transfer RNA (87 nucleotides) under bacterium. RNAcentral's name for it is "tRNA-Ser". It matches the Rfam family "tRNA". Rfam says of the family: Transfer RNA (tRNA) molecules are approximately 80 nucleotides in length. Their secondary structure includes four short double-helical elements and three loops (D, anti-codon, and T loops). The record is from RNAcentral.
GGAAGGUUGGCAGAGCGGUCGAAUGCGCCGCAUUCGAAAUGCGGUAUACCGGAAACGGUAUCGGAGGUUCGAAUCCUCCACCUUCCG